ACCACUCUAGCUUUUAACAAACACUGGUAGAGGUGGUAACGAGACCUAAGAAACUACAAAAAGCAAUCCAGGAUGAUUGAUCAUGGAGACAGCAGAGUCAAGAAAGGAAUUCUAGACCAGCUCUCCGGCCUGCUUGGCUUCAGGUCUGUGACCUCAUUCUGGCUUAAUAAGCGACCUUUGGCACAUAACCCCAGCCGCUCUCAGGUUCGACUUCCUCUCCCUAAAAUGGUUCACCGUGAAGAUCCAAGAAAAUAAGGAACAGCAAUCCAUGGCGUCUCUUCUAGAGUCUCGGUGCUUCCCAGAUUGGAGAGCUGAGUGCUUGGCUGUAACCCAGGGCUGGAGAUAUUGGAGUCGCCCAUCUGAUUCUGAAAUUAAAAGGAAAAGUAUAUCAUGUGAA
This is a long non-coding RNA of Panthera uncia (snow leopard), 397 nucleotides long. RefSeq lists it as uncharacterized. The transcript has 2 exons. NCBI's taxonomy places the organism in Eukaryota, Metazoa, Chordata, Mammalia, Carnivora, Felidae. The record is from RefSeq and is a predicted model, not a curated record.